AGAAUCAACGCUGGCGGCGUGCCUAACACAUGCAAGUCGCACGAGAAAGCGGGAGCAAUCCUGUGAGUAAAGUGGCGUACGGGUGAGUAACACGUGAAUCAUCUACCUUCGAGUGUGGAAUAACUGAGAGAAAUCUUAGCUAAUACCGCAUAAUACCUACGGGUCAAAGCAGCAAUGCGCUUGAAGAGGAGUUCGCGGCAGAUUAGUUAGUUGGCGGGGUAAUGGCCCACCAAGACGAUGAUCUGUA
This 247-nucleotide ribosomal RNA is filed under the name uncultured bacterium. RNAcentral describes it as "partial small subunit ribosomal RNA". It matches the Rfam family "Bacterial small subunit ribosomal RNA", at positions 26 to 285 of the family's 1533-position model. The record is from RNAcentral.